This 549-nucleotide ribosomal RNA is filed under the name uncultured Glomeraceae. RNAcentral describes it as "SSU rRNA". It matches the Rfam family "Eukaryotic small subunit ribosomal RNA", at positions 548 to 1098 of the family's 1831-position model. Lineage: Eukaryota; Fungi; Glomeromycota; Glomeromycetes; Glomerales; Glomeraceae. The record is from RNAcentral.
UUGGAGGGCAAGUCUGGUGCCAGCAGCCGCGGUAAUUCCAGCUCCAAUAGCGUAUAUUAAAGUUGUUGCAGUUAAAAAGCUCGUAGUUGAAUUUCGGGGUCAAUAGGUUGGUCAUGCCACUGGUAUGUACUGGUCUCACUGAUUCCUCCUUCUUGAUGAACUGUAAUGCCAUUAAUUUGGUGUUGCAGGGAAUCUGGACUGUUACUUUGAAAAAAUUAGAGUGUUUAAAGCAGGCUAACGCCUGAAUACAUUAGCAUGGAAUAAUGAAAUAGGACGUUCGAUCCUAUUUUGUUGGUUUCUAGGAUUGACGUAAUGAUUAAUAGGGAUAGUUGGGGGCAUUAGUAUUCAAUUGUCAGAGGUGAAAUUCUUGGAUUUAUUGAAGACUAACUACUGCGAAAGCAUUUGCCAAGGAUGUUUUCAUUAAUCAAGAACGAAAGUUAGGGGAUCGAAGACGAUCAGAUACCGUCGUAGUCUUAACCAUAAACUAUGCCGACUAGGGAUCGGAUGAUGUUAAUUUUUUAAUGACUCAUUCGGCGCCUUACGGGAAAC